GUGCCAGCAGCCGCGGUAAUACGUAGGGUGCUAGCGUUGUUCGGAAUCAUUGGGCGUAAAGCGCGUGCAGGCUGUUAGUUAAGUCGGGUGUGAAAUCCCUGGGCUCAACCGAGGAAGUGCAUCCGAAACUAGCUAGCUAGAGAGUGGUAGAGGAAGGUGGAAUUCCAAGUGUAGAGGUGAAAUUCGUAGAUAUUUGGAGGAAUACCGGUGGCGAAGGCGGCCUUCUGGACCAUUUCUGACGCUGAGACGCGAAAGCGUGGGGAGCAAACAGGAUUAGAUACCCUAGUAGUCC
RNAcentral lists this ribosomal RNA (292 nucleotides) under uncultured bacterium. Its description in RNAcentral is "partial 16S ribosomal RNA". It matches the Rfam family "Bacterial small subunit ribosomal RNA", at positions 505 to 796 of the family's 1533-position model. The record is from RNAcentral.